Non-coding RNA from Vicugna pacos (alpaca), 96 nucleotides. The record is from RefSeq and is a predicted model, not a curated record. Lineage: Eukaryota; Metazoa; Chordata; Mammalia; Artiodactyla; Camelidae.
AACUUCUUAAGAAACUGCCAAACCAUUUUCCAAAGUCAUUACACCAUUUUAGAUUCCCAGCAGCAAUGUAUGAGAGAUCCAAUUCAGAAAAUAAAU